GCUCCGGCGCUUUGAGAGUGGACCUGCGGGCCAUCAGCUAGUCGAUAGGGUAAUGGCCUACCAACGCAAAGACGGGUACGGGGCGUGAGAGCGUGACCCCGCACACUGGCACUGGGAUACGGGCCAGACUCCUACGGGAGGCAACAGUGAGGAAUAUUGCGCAAUGAGCGAAAGCUAGAUGCAGGAUCGCCGCCUGGGUGAUGAAGGCCUACGGGUCGUAGAAGCCUUUUCUGGGGGACGAGUAGGGACGGUACCGCAAGAAUAUGCCUCAGUUAACUAUGUGCCAGCAGCCGAGGUAAUACAUAGGAGGCAGACGUUAUCCGGAUUGACUGGGCGUAAACAGCCUUGAGGCGGCUUCGUAAUUUGCACGUGAAAGCUCCCGGCUUAACUGUGAGAGGCCUUUCAAUACUGCGGUGCUUCAGGACAGUAGACGGGGUUGUAAUUACCUGUGUAGUGGUGAAAUGCGUAGAUAUCGGAAGGAACACCAGUGUGGUAAAUCUGNCCCCUGUGAUGCUCCUGAGGCUGAAGGCGAAAGCUAUGGUAGCGAACGGGAUUAGAGACCCCGGUAGUCCUAACCGUUAACGAUGGAUACUAGGUGUAGGAGCUUACAAUUCCUUAUGUGCCGGAGCUACGCGCGUUAAGUAUCCCGCCUGGGGACUACGGUCGCAAGCCUUAUACUCAAAGGGUUUGACAUGGGCCCGCACAAGCAGCGGAGCGUCUGUUUUAAUUCGAUGCAACGCGAUGAACCUUACCAGGGCUUGACUUGUAGGUAGUAGUGUAGCGUUAGAGGUACGAUCAUUCGGGAAGCCUACACAGGUGCUGCAUGGCUGUCGUCAGCUCGCGCCGUGAGCUGCUAGGUUAAGUCCUGUUACGAGCGCAACCCCUGCCGUUAGUUACAAGUGUCUAACGGGACUGCCCGGCCAAAUUGGGACGGAAGGUGGGGAUGACGUCAAGUCGGCAUGGCCUUUAUGUCCUGGGCUACACACACGCUACA
This 994-nucleotide ribosomal RNA is filed under the name uncultured organism. RNAcentral's name for it is "bacterial SSU rRNA". It matches the Rfam family "Bacterial small subunit ribosomal RNA", at positions 206 to 1229 of the family's 1533-position model. The record is from RNAcentral.